This 327-nucleotide unclassified non-coding RNA is filed under the name soil metagenome. Its description in RNAcentral is "partial contains 5.8S ribosomal RNA, internal transcribed spacer 2, and large subunit ribosomal RNA". The stretch from base 1 to 120 matches the Rfam family "5.8S ribosomal RNA", at positions 35 to 154 of the family's 154-position model. The record is from RNAcentral.
GAUGAAGAACGCAGCGAAAUGCGAUAAGUAAUGUGAAUUGCAGAAUUCAGUGAAUCAUCGAAUCUUUGAACGCACAUUGCGCCCCUUGGUAUUCCGAGGGGCAUGCCCGUUCGAGCGUCAUUAUACCCCUCAAGCCUAGCUUGGUGUUGGGGCCUGCUGUUACCGGCAGCCCUUAAAAUCAGUGGCGGUGCCAUCUGGCUCUAAGCGUAGUAAUACUUCUCGCUACAGGGUCCCGGUGGAUGCUUGCCAUCAACCCCUAAUUUUCUAUGGUUGACCUCGGAUCGGGUAGGGAUACCCGCUGAACUUAAGCAUAUCAAUAACGGAGGA